UCCGAGAAAGAAGGGAAGCCCAUGCAUGGGAACCCCAUAGUCACUCCCCCCAUGGAAUUUGCUGGUUCCCAUAGCAGCCAAUGGCACACAACAGAAGGCAGCAGCUGGGACCGUGCAGCCUGCUGGACUGAGACAGCGGUUGGGGCUGGAGGCUGCCAACAAGGAGCCACCUGGAUGGACCAUGAUGCCAUUUCUGAGGUACCACCGACCUCGUAAGUGCCGCAAAGAGCUAGCGUACCUUUUCGAACCCUUCACUCCACGGCAAUCAAGAACGGCACUCUGCUCAGAGACGAGCACUUGGUGAAGUCUGCAGUCUCAGCGAUUAGGAGAAACACAUAACUAUAAAGCACAGAGCCAUGAUAAGCUGCAUCGUAAGCGUCAACACUGGAGACGGGAAUGAUAACCCACGACGACUCGAAUUAUUUUAGCCGCAACCCCCGGUACAGCACUAAGUUUCAGACGGAAAGUCAGUUUAGGCUCCUGGUUUUAUAUUCACAUUUAGAUGAAUGAAAAAUGUUUGUGUUUUUAAUAAGACCUCAUUUUAGCCCCUUGAGGCAAAACAGGGGCAGGUAAUGACUUGCCAAAGCAAAGAGAACAGCUAGAAGCAGAUGCAUAAUCACAGAAACCAUUAAAUUUUUGCACCUUAAUUUUUGGCAGAUUUUGUAGUCAAGUGCAACCUGACAAGAGUAAUGAAUAAACAGCAGUUCUAGACAUCUGGUAGUGUGGGAGGAAUAGAUAUUUUGGGCUAUCAGAUAAAUAUUCAAAUGAUAAAACUUACUGUUGAUCCCUCCCUCGGCAAGCAACUUUUGUGAAUGCUCAUGGUGGGCAAAUCUCUGGGGAACCUGAACACUGCACGGUCCAGAUCCCAAGUGAUACGAGGGCCCCAGACAUGCUGUUCAGUUAGAGGUACGGCGCACGCCUGCCAAACCGUGGGACUGACCCCUCCACGAAGGAGCGAGCAAGCUCCCCAUCACAGUGCUGGGGAGGUCCUGACGACCUCUGCCUUAGACUCUCCUUUUCUCCCCUUCCAUGGCUGAUGAAUUAGCUGUCAAUUCUUACUCAAGAACAUGUCAAUUUCGAAGAACAAGUCCCAGCUCAAUUUUAAGCAGGGACCCAUACCUGCCUCUUAAAGGGGCUUUGCCCCACCCACCGUGUUUUGUGCAUCUCAACAUUUAAUUCUCUGAAUUUAACCUUAUUGCUCGGUGUUCGUGUAGUUCUAGAUCAGGCAAGCUCGCCACUGCCCCAAGUAUUGUCUGUAGACCCUAUGUUAGCUGUCAACAAGUCUUUGGAUCUUUAAAAUUCAGCUUUUAAUCACAUGCAUGGCAUAAAAAAAAAAAAACAAAAAAACCCUAUAAGGAGAAAAAAUGAACCAGUAUCAGGUCCAGUUGCAGACUCUAAAAUCUUUCUGGCCGUUUCAACUACGAAAAGGCUGGAUCUUAGCAGCAAACUAAAUCCAAGUGUUAAAAGUUUUGUCAAAACUACCUCAGUAUUCGUAGCUGACUUCCAUCCUAGGAAAGAGUUUCAGAAUAAGAAAAAUAGACUACCUUACAACUAAAGGGAAGCUUCUUUAUUGCUUUAGUCUAGACUCCAUUUAUUAUCACAGAAAUUAAAUGCUGGAAAAGAAGGGUUUGCUUAAUGAUGUUGCUUAAUUACGGGUCUUUAAACGUAAAACCAACAUUGCCACCUAGUGGCAAUCGAAGGCACCUACUAAACAUGUCUAAAACUGCAAACUGUACACGUAAAGGACAAUAAAAAUUAAGUAUAAGCAAACUGAAAACACAAGCAUAAAUUAAAGCGCUAGAAGAGGUAUAUACUUCCGUGAAAUGGAACUGCUUUCUAAGCCUUAAAAGCUGAGAAAAACGCAUCCGUGAAAAUAACAGUUCCUAACACUGUCGGUGUGUGGCAUUUCGCUAGGUGCCGCAGGGGGAGACAAGAAGAGGUACAGAGGUCUUGCCUUCCUCCAGAUUCUGAAGGCAGGACAGAUGCCCGAGAGGAGAAAGGGCACUGCGGGGGAGCCCAUGCGGAAUACCGAAAGAGCGCCCCAGAAAGUAGUGCCCGUGGAUGAAAACAGCCGUCAUGGUAGACCAAGGUUACCAGAGAAGACACGGAGGAGAGGCUGUCAAAGUCACAAUAAUAAUAUUCCGCCUUACAAAGGA
Long non-coding RNA from Felis catus (domestic cat), 2156 nucleotides. RefSeq lists it as uncharacterized. The record is from RefSeq and is a predicted model, not a curated record. The transcript has 3 exons. Lineage: Eukaryota; Metazoa; Chordata; Mammalia; Carnivora; Felidae.